CUCAGGAGAAAAUCCAGAUCUACGCGUGACACACAGACUCCCGCCCACACACACAUACACACGCACACACACACAGACACACUAACAUUUGGUUCUAAACAAAGACACACACUAAGAGUUAGACACAUUAAUAUUUAGAUGUACACACAGACACACUAACAUUUAGAUGUACACACAGACACACUAACAUUUGGUUCUAAACAAUGACACACACUAAUAUUUAGAUGUACACAAAGACACAAUAACAAUUAGAUAUACACACAAACACAAUAUCAUUUGGUUCUAAACAAAGACACACACUAAUAUUUAGAUGUACACAAAGACACACACUAAUAUUUAGAUGUACACAAAGACAUAUUAAUAUUUGGAUGUACACACAGACACACUAACAUUUGAUGCUAAACAAAGACACAUUAAUAUUUAGAUGUACACACACACUAACAAUUAGAUGUACACACAGACACACUAUCAUUUAGUUCCAAACAAUGACACACACUAAUAUUUAGAUGUACACAAAGACACAAUAACAAUUAGAUAUACAAACAGAAACACUAACAAUUAGAUCUACACACAGACGCACUAACAAUUAGAUGUACACACGGACACACUAACAAUUAGAUCUACACACAGACGCACUAACAAUUAGAUGUACACACUGACACACUAACAAUUAGAUCUACACACAGACACACUAACAAUUAGAUGUACACACAGACACAUCCUGAUGAUCCUCCUCACAUCUCUUCUCCUUGUCUGCAGACCAAUAGGACCCCAUCAGGACGCCACGUCAUCGGGACGCUACGUCAUUGGGACGCCAUCAGGACGCCACGUCAUCGGGACGCCAUCAGGACGCCACGUCAUCGGGACGCCAUCAGGAUUCCAUCAGGACGCCAUCAGAACGCCGCGUCAACCCCUCAGGAGCAAAUCCAGAUCUAAUCAUGACACACACACACACACACACACACACAGAUGUACUCAGAGACACACUAACAUUUAGACACGCUGGCAAAUUUAGACACACACACACACACAGAUGUACUCAGAGACACACUAACAUUUAGACACGCUGGCAAUUUAGAUGUACAAUUAGAUGUACACACAGACACACUAAUUAUUUGGUUCUAAACAAUGACACACACUAAUAUUUAGAUGUACACACAGACACACUAACAUUUGGUUCUAAACAAAGACACACUAAUAUUUAGAUGUGCACAAAGACAUAUUAAUAUUUAGAUGUACACACAGACACACUAACAUUUAGAUGUACACACAGACACACUAACAAUUAGAUGUAAACACAGACACACUAACAACAUUAACAUGUUAAUAACUUUUCUUCUUUUCUCUCUUCUCAGGAACUGCUUCAGAUGUUUUCCCAAUGAUUGUGUUAUUAUUAUUGUUAAAUAUGUCGUCUGUUUAUUAUUUUAACAAUGAAAAUACAUUUUAAUAAAAAUAAAACCAAAUGAAUCCAUCUUGUUUUCUUCAGACCAAAGAGAAUCACAUGUUCUUUAUUAUUCGUUGACUUGAAUGAAGUGAAACAACAAUGAUCUUG
Molecule: long non-coding RNA, 1552 nt
Organism: Gasterosteus aculeatus aculeatus (three-spined stickleback)
Lineage: Eukaryota; Metazoa; Chordata; Actinopteri; Perciformes; Gasterosteidae
Source: Ensembl